RNAcentral lists this ribosomal RNA (301 nucleotides) under uncultured bacterium. Its description in RNAcentral is "partial 16S ribosomal RNA". It matches the Rfam family "Bacterial small subunit ribosomal RNA", at positions 509 to 809 of the family's 1533-position model. The record is from RNAcentral.
CAGCCGCCGCGGUAAUACGAAGGGGGCUAGCGUUGCUCGGAAUGACUGGGCGUAAAGGGCGCGUAGGCGGCGAUCAAAGUCAGGCGUGAAAUUCCUGGGCUCAACCUGGGGGCUGCGUUUGAUACUUGGUUGCUAGAGUGAGGAAGAGGGUCGUGGAAUUCCCAGUGUAGAGGUGAAAUUCGUAGAUAUUGGGAAGAACACCGGUGGCGAAGGCGGCGACCUGGUCCUUGACUGACGCUGAGGCGCGAGAGCGUGGGGAGCAAACAGGAUUAGAUACCCGCGUAGUCCCUGUCUCUUAUAA